CGUCAAGUCCUCAUGGCCUUUAUGCCCAGGGCUACACACGUGCUACAAUGGGUGGUACAAAGAGAUGCAAUCUCGCAAGAGCAAGCAAACCUCAAAAGCCAUCCUCAGUUCGGAUUGGAGUCUGCAACUCGACUCCAUGAAGUCGGAAUCGCUAGUAAUCGCGGAUCAGCACGCCGCGGUGAAUACGGUUCCCGGGCCUU
Molecule: ribosomal RNA, 200 nt
Filed under: uncultured Gelria sp.
Lineage: Bacteria; Bacillati; Bacillota; Clostridia; Thermoanaerobacterales; Thermoanaerobacteraceae
Description: partial 16S ribosomal RNA
Rfam family: Bacterial small subunit ribosomal RNA
Source: RNAcentral